Molecule: ribosomal RNA, 711 nt
Filed under: Enterobacter hormaechei
Lineage: Bacteria; Pseudomonadati; Pseudomonadota; Gammaproteobacteria; Enterobacterales; Enterobacteriaceae
Description: bacterial SSU rRNA
Rfam family: Bacterial small subunit ribosomal RNA
Source: RNAcentral
ACACAUGCAAGUCGAACGGUAACAGGAAGCAGCUUGCUGCUUCGCUGACGAGUGGCGGACGGGUGAGUAAUGUCUGGGAAACUGCCUGAUGGAGGGGGAUAACUACUGGAAACGGUAGCUAAUACCGCAUAACGUCGCAAGACCAAAGAGGGGGACCUUCGGGCCUCUUGCCAUCGGAUGUGCCCAGAUGGGAUUAGCUAGUAGGUGGGGUAACGGCUCACCUAGGCGACGAUCCCUAGCUGGUCUGAGAGGAUGACCAGCCACACUGGAACUGAGACACGGUCCAGACUCCUACGGGAGGCAGCAGUGGGGAAUAUUGCACAAUGGGCGCAAGCCUGAUGCAGCCAUGCCGCGUGUAUGAAGAAGGCCUUCGGGUUGUAAAGUACUUUCAGCGGGGAGGAAGGCGAUAAGGUUAAUAACCUUGUCGAUUGACGUUACCCGCAGAAGAAGCACCGGCUAACUCCGUGCCAGCAGCCGCGGUAAUACGGAGGGUGCAAGCGUUAAUCGGAAUUACUGGGCGUAAAGCGCACGCAGGCGGUCUGUCAAGUCGGAUGUGAAAUCCCCGGGCUCAACCUGGGAACUGCAUUCGAAACUGGCAGGCUAGAGUCUUGUAGAGGGGGGUAGAAUUCCAGGUGUAGCGGUGAAAUGCGUAGAGAUCUGGAGGAAUACCGGUGGCGAAGGCGGCCCCCUGGACAAAGACUGACGCUUCAG